CAGGGAUUGCCCUAGUAACGGCGAGUGAAGCGGCAACAGCUCAAAUUUGAAAUCUGGCUCUUUUAGGGUCCGAGUUGUAAUUUGCAGAGGGCGCUUUGGCUUUGGCAGCGGUCCAAGUUCCUUGGAACAGGACGUCACAGAGGGUGAGAAUCCCGUACGUGGUCGCUAGCUAUUGCCGUGUAAAGCCCCUUCGACGAGUCGAGUUGUUUGGGAAUGCAGCUCUAAAUGGGAGGUAAAUUUCUUCUAAAGCUAAAUAUUGGCCAGAGACCGAUAGCGCACAAGUAGAGUGAUCGAAAGAUGAAAAGCACUUUGGAAAGAGAGUCAAACAGCACGUGAAAUUGUUGAAAGGGAAGCGCUUGCAGCCAGACUUGCUUGCAGUUGCUCAUCCGGGCUUUUGCCCGGUGCACUCUUCUGCAGGCAGGCCAGCAUCAGUUUGGGCGGUGGGAUAAAGGUCUCUGACACGUUCCUUCCUUCGGGUUGGCCAUAUAGGGGAGACGUCAUACCACCAGCCUGGACUGAGGUCCGCGCAUCUGCUAGGAUGCUGGCGUAAUGGCUGUAAGCGGCCCGUCUUGAAACACGGACCAAGGAGUCUAACAUCUAUGCGAGUGUUUGGGUGUCAAGCCCGAGCGCGUAAUGAAAGUGAACGGAGGUGGGAACCCGCAAGGGCGCACCAUCGACCGAUCCUGAAGUUUACGGAAGGAUUUGAGUAAGAGCAUGGCUGUUGGGACCCGAAAGAUGGUGAACUAUGCUUGAAUAGGGUGAAGCCAGAGGAAACUCUGGUGGAGGCUCGCAGCGGUUCUGACGUGCAAAUCGAUCGUCAAAUUUGGGCAUAGGGGCGAAAGACU
RNAcentral lists this ribosomal RNA (845 nucleotides) under Curvularia australis. Its description in RNAcentral is "eukaryotic LSU rRNA". It matches the Rfam family "Eukaryotic large subunit ribosomal RNA", at positions 69 to 932 of the family's 3401-position model. The record is from RNAcentral. Lineage: Eukaryota; Fungi; Ascomycota; Dothideomycetes; Pleosporales; Pleosporaceae.